UACGGAGGGUGCAAGCGUUAAUCGGAAUAACUGGGCGUAAAGGGCACGCAGGCGGUCAAUUAAGUCAGAUGUGAAAUCCCCGGGCUUAACCUGGGAAUUGCAUUUGAGACUGGUAGUCUAGAGUACUGUAGAGGGGGGUAGAAUUCCACGUGUAGCGGUGAAAUGCGUAGAGAUGUGGAGGAAUACCGAUGGCGAAGGCAGCCCCCUGGGCAAGUACUGACGCUCAGGUGCGAAAGCGUGGGGAGCAAACAGG
This 253-nucleotide ribosomal RNA is filed under the name uncultured bacterium. RNAcentral's name for it is "partial 16S ribosomal RNA". It matches the Rfam family "Bacterial small subunit ribosomal RNA", at positions 524 to 776 of the family's 1533-position model. The record is from RNAcentral.